UAUGAUGUGACGUACUUUCCUGCAGGAGG
This 29-nucleotide non-coding RNA is filed under the name Homo sapiens (human). The record is from RNAcentral. Lineage: Eukaryota; Metazoa; Chordata; Mammalia; Primates; Hominidae.